CAGCCGCCCGGGAAUACGAAGGGUGCAAGUGUUAAUCGGAAUUACUGGGCGUAAAGCGUACGCAGGCGGUUUGUUAAGUCAGAUGUGAAAUCCCCGAGCUUAACUCGGGAACUGCAUUUGAAACUGGCAGGCUAGAGUCUCGUAGAGGGGGGUAGAAUUCCAGGUGUAGCGGUGAAAUGCGUAGAGAUCUGGAGGAAUACCGGUGGCGAAGGCGGCCCCCUGGACGAAGACUGACGCUCAGGUACGAAAGCGUGGGGAGCAAACAGGAUUAGAUACCCCAGUAGUCCCUGUCUCUUAUACA
RNAcentral lists this ribosomal RNA (301 nucleotides) under uncultured bacterium. RNAcentral describes it as "partial 16S ribosomal RNA". It matches the Rfam family "Bacterial small subunit ribosomal RNA", at positions 512 to 808 of the family's 1533-position model. The record is from RNAcentral.